This 292-nucleotide ribosomal RNA is filed under the name uncultured bacterium. RNAcentral describes it as "partial 16S ribosomal RNA". It matches the Rfam family "Bacterial small subunit ribosomal RNA", at positions 505 to 796 of the family's 1533-position model. The record is from RNAcentral.
GUGUCAGCAGCCGCGGUAAUACGGAGGAUGCGAGCGUUAUCCGGAUUCAUUGGGUUUAAAGGGUGCGUAGGCGGACUAUUAAGUCAGUGGUGAAAUCCUGCAGCUUAACUGCAGAACUGCCAUUGAUACUGAUAGACUUGAGUUUGGUUAAGGUAGGCGGAAUGUGUAAUGUAGCGGUGAAAUGCUUAGAUAUUACACAGAACACCAAUUGCGUAGGCAGCUUACUGAGCCGAUACUGACGCUGAGGCACGAAAGCGUGGGGAUCGAACAGGAUUAGAUACCCUGGUAGUCC